This is a long non-coding RNA of Meriones unguiculatus (Mongolian gerbil), 636 nucleotides long. RefSeq lists it as uncharacterized. Lineage: Eukaryota; Metazoa; Chordata; Mammalia; Rodentia; Muridae. The record is from RefSeq and is a predicted model, not a curated record. The transcript has 4 exons.
GGGUGCUGCCUCGGGCACAGCCAGCUGGACCGUCCUUUACACAGAGGCGUGAACCGAGAAACUGAAGGAUUCGGAAGGGAAAGUGGAACUGGAAUUUCUAGUUUUUGUUGUGUGACUUCUGCAGAGGACUCCUUAAGUAAAAUGGGGUCUACUCAAGCAACAACAUGCUUGCUAUUCGGCACAGACUGGCUUCUGAUUCGCUGUAAUCCUUCAUUCUUCUGCUUCUGCCUACCGUGUGCUGGGAUUACAGGCAUGCCACCUGAGUCUUCCAUUCCAUCCCCUGGACCCCGCACGGUGGAAAGAACUGACUUCUUGUGGUGGCUGCCUCACAUCUGUCAUCCUACCUUUCUGGAGGCUGAGGCAGGAGGAUGAGCCUGGACUAUGCAAUCAGAGCCUGCUCCUCCUCACCCAGUAAAAGCCAACCGCUGCCACUAUAAAGCAUCAAUCUUGAUCUUCAGGUGACUGUCUUUUCUGACCUUGGGCAGAUGACUCCCGGAGUCUACACCUCUGGGAAACCGCAGGAAGGCCGGCCCAGGGUUAGGGAAGAUUUCUUGAGGUACUACACUGUUUCCACUUGGCAGGCCCCACUCCCUCUCACCCCCGCCCCCAUCUGAGUCUCCGCCUCCAGAGACUGCC